UGACACUCCAUAAAUAUGGGAUUUUGUCAAUCACGAAACAUGAGCAAAAGAGCAUGCCUGAUUUAAGUGAUGCAUCCACACUUUUUACAAAGAUGGAGAUUUUACCAUGAGGCAUUCCUUUCAGAAGUGUUGUCUAGGAGCUGAUUUUUUUUUGUCAUGGUCUCAGAAUCUGAAAGCAGCUGGCUGCAAAGGACCUCUACAGGAAUCAUGGAUUCAUUAUCUUCAUGAUCAGCAUUUAACUUCUAUAUAAUGAUCAGGUUUCGGGUAAGGAUGGACUGUAAUUGGCGACUUUACAUUUCUGCACGAAUAAAUCAGUAUUGUCAAAUGUCUGCUUAGGGCACUGCUGUCUCUCUCUGCUCAUGUUGCACACUGGCUAAUGUUUUUGAGAGUCAACAAACCCUUGAGUUUCUCAUUCUAGUUCCAAUUCAUUGUACAGCGGAAUUUGUUUUAAUGCUAUUGUUGAUCAACCCUGUAAUGUGUGACUUUUAUUUCCCCAAGUUGAUUAGAGUUCCAAAGGUGUUGGAGUUAUGAUAUAUGGACAGGUAUUUAGCAGUUUAGCAUGACAUAGAUAGAGGACACGAAGCACAAUUCAUGUAGGCUCUGUACGGUAUGAAUGUAUGUUCAUUAUGAAGGCCUACUGUAUGUGUUUACAGUGUGCUAAUGUGUCUUACUGUGGGACUCCCCUCUUUUCGCCUCAUGUGCCUGCAUUUAAGACAUCGCCAUCAUCUGUUACUCUGGACAUUAUACAAAAAGAUGACUUAACAGUUUCAGUACGUGCCCAGAACUCAACUGAGUCUUCACAUCUACAUGUGCCAUGACAACCAUUUCCAAUGAAAAUAGUGUGGAAUACCUUCGGAGUAUCACACACACGUUUUUUUUGUUUGUUUUAAAAACUCUGUCAGAUAUUGGGCUUUGUUUGUUUUAAAAACUCCGUCAAGUUGAAGUUUGGACUCAUGAAAGCUUACAUUUUGAGACUUCUGUGCCUCUACCCUUCACAAUACCUGGAGGAAAUGGAGGCAAUUGGAAUCUGUGCAGUUAAAUCUGUGCAGUUGAAUCUGUGCUGUUAAAAUGGCUAAUUAUGAGAAUGUAUUUGAAUUAAGUAAUGAAUCAUAUACAUAGGCCAUGUAAAGUUUGUCUUGUAUGUCAUUUCUUUGUGACACGGGAUUGAUUAGAUAGUGUAAGUGACUGAAGUUACUGUAAAAACCUGUGAUAAGGCGCAGCCCAAGAAUGUCUACCCUCACUAUCAUGACAAAGCAUGGGGAGGAAAGAUCAUUUCUAUCUAAAUGCUUUCUAUUGGGAUUUAUUAACAGCUUCAGUAUAUUAUUUACAUAAAUCCUCCAGUUUCAAACUUGUUUAAAAUAAUGUGAGGUAAAUUAUGUGUUUCCCCCCUUGGAAAUAAGGAUUCAUCUGGUGUGUUUUCUAAUUUGGCAGGAUGGUUAUAAAUUGUACAAUUGCAACACUGCAAAGUUUAAAGCUGGCUGAUUUGUUAACAACAAUCAAAACCAAAUAAAAAUUAAAUACCAACA
Long non-coding RNA from Clupea harengus (Atlantic herring), 1526 nucleotides. RefSeq lists it as uncharacterized. Lineage: Eukaryota; Metazoa; Chordata; Actinopteri; Clupeiformes; Clupeidae. The record is from RefSeq and is a predicted model, not a curated record. The transcript has 2 exons.